This 253-nucleotide ribosomal RNA is filed under the name uncultured bacterium. RNAcentral's name for it is "partial 16S ribosomal RNA". It matches the Rfam family "Bacterial small subunit ribosomal RNA", at positions 524 to 776 of the family's 1533-position model. The record is from RNAcentral.
UACGUAGGGGGCAAGCGUUGUCCGGAAUCAUUGGGCGUAAAGAGCGCGUAGGCGGCCCGGUAAGUCUGCUGUGAAAGUCAAAGGCUCAACCUUAGAAUGUCAGCGGAUACUGCCGGGCUAGAGUCCGGAAGAGGCGAGUGGAAUUCCUGGUGUAGCGGUGGAAUGCGCAGAUAUCAGGAGGAACACCAACGGCGAAGGCAGCUCGCUAGGACGGUACUGACGCUGAGGCGCGAAAGCGUGGGGAGCGAACAGG